UCAAGCCACCCAAGUCGAUCGCACCCGAAGUCCUUGUGCUAACCCCUCGGGGAGGCAGAGGCCGAAGGUGAGGUUGGUAAGGGGGACU
This 88-nucleotide ribosomal RNA is filed under the name uncultured eukaryote. RNAcentral's name for it is "partial small subunit ribosomal RNA". The record is from RNAcentral.